RNAcentral lists this ribosomal RNA (474 nucleotides) under uncultured bacterium. RNAcentral's name for it is "bacterial SSU rRNA". It matches the Rfam family "Bacterial small subunit ribosomal RNA", at positions 28 to 481 of the family's 1533-position model. The record is from RNAcentral.
AAUGAACGCUGGCGGCGUGCUUAACACAUGCAAGUCGAGCGAGGCCUGGGGGGCAACUCCCAGAGUCGAGCGGCGGACGGGUGAGUAACACGUGGGUAACCUGCCCGGAAGUGGGGAAUACCUCGGGGAAACUCGAGCUAAUACCGCAUGACAUCUUUGGGACGAAAGUCCUGACGAUCAAAGCGGGGUCGCAAGAUCUCGCGCUACCGGAUGGGCCCGCGCCCGAUUAGCUAGUGGUGAGGUAACGGCUCACCAAGGCUUCGAUCGGUAACCGGCCUGAGAGGGCGAUCGGUCACACCGGAACUGAGACACGGUCCGGACUCCUACGGGAGGCAGCAGUGGGGAAUCUUGCGCAAUGGGCGAAAGCCUGACGCAGCAACGCCGCGUGGAGGAUGAAGGCCCUUGGGUUGUAAACUCCUGUCGGCUGGGAAGAAGUCGUGCGGUGCUCAUACCACCGUGCGUUGACUGUACCAG